Molecule: ribosomal RNA, 492 nt
Filed under: uncultured bacterium
Lineage: Bacteria
Description: partial 16S ribosomal RNA
Rfam family: Bacterial small subunit ribosomal RNA
Source: RNAcentral
AUUGAACGCUGGCGGCAUGCUUUACACAUGCAAGUCGAACGGUAACAGGCCUUCGGGUGCUGACGAGUGGCGAACGGGUGAGUAAUGCAUCGGAACGUGCCCAGAGGUGGGGGAUAACGCAGCGAAAGCUGUGCUAAUACCGCAUGUGAUCUGAGGAUGAAAGCGGGGGACCAGGCAGCAAUGUUUGGCCUCGCGCCUUUGGAGCGGCCGAUGUCGGAUUAGGUAGUUGGCGGGGUAAAGGCCUACCAAGCCGACGAUCUGUAGCUGGUCUGAGAGGACGACCAGCCACACUGGAACUGAGACACGGCCCAGACUCCUACGGGAGGCAGCAGUGGGGAAUUUUGGACAAUGGGCGCAAGCCUGAUCCAGCAAUGCCGCGUGCGGGAAGAAGGCCUUCGGGUUGUAAACCGCUUUUGUACGGAACGAAAAGGCUCUGGCUAAUACCUGGGGCUGAUGACGGUACCGUAAGAAUAAGCACCGGCUAACUACGUG